CCAUUGACAUUUCAACAAUGUCUAAUGUAAUGGGAGGAUCAUCACUCCUUGAUUGAGACAAAACUACACUCCAAUAUUUCCUCGCAGAUGAUUACUAUACAAAGAAGAUUGGUUAACCCAACUCAAAGCAACUUUCUAUGUCAAAUCCUAAAUGCGCCGAGAUGUAAUUGUCAAAUCCAAUUUUAAUAAUUGCAUACACAAUAGCUACAACGAUUACCCCAUAUCAUCAGAUGAUCCCAAAAUUUGAAAGCAAUGCUGUGCAUUUUUUUUUUUUUUUUUAAAUGAGAGCAAUGCUAUCUCGGUUUCGUAACACAGGAUGAAAUCACUUCAAUUUUGCUGCAGAAGUACCCUGGCUCUAUGCUGAAGUUUAUUGAACAAGUUGCUAUCAAAACUAUGGCAACUCAAGUUUGCAGCAACAUCAAUCAAAUUUUGGAUGAAGACUACCAUCUCAUCACUAGUAUUUCUGUGUUUGCCAUAUACAGCCUCAAAUUCUCUGGAUUUUGCAGCAGCUUUUUCUAGUAUAGAAUCAGGGAGUCCUGAAAAGAUUACUACUAAGAACUGGAAUUUAUUCCCCAAGUGCCAUCUCAAAACUUUUGCCAACAAAUUUCGCAACUUAUAUUGACAAAUACAAAAUAAAGUCUUGCAUUGUCAGUAACGUCAACUAUUUAUUCAGUAUCCCAAAAAUGCAGUAUGCUUUACCAUGAAACAUGCAGUUUUAUCGUGUUGAAAAAAUAAUUAUAUUAAAUAAGGAAUUGAAGCCUUUGGCUCCAUAUUGAAAAUGUUAAAACUGUUGGUGCCAGUAUAAAAAACAUGGGCAAUCACUUAAAACAUCUUGAUUACCUCGAGUAUUGAAUCUUGUGGAAAUUCCAGAUGAAGAUGCAAAGAAAUAGACAAAAAAAUUACCAGCCAGUCUUGCUACAUUGACACCAUAGCUUUUAGGGCAUGCACCAGGCAUCAACCUAUAUAGAAAUGUAACUUCCUCCACUUCUCCAACCCCAGUUCCAACUUGACAUGCCAUGUGGCAGAGUGAGACCUUGGGAUCUUUCUGAUAGUCUACAGCUAAUCGAUGAUAGUGAGUUGAAAACAUUCCUCGACACUGCACCUCGUGGACAAAAUGAUCAAGUACUGCUUCCGCUAUUGCUUGUCCAUCUGAUGUUGAUGUGCCACGUCCAAGUUCAUCCAGUGCCACCAAUGAAUUACGAGUGGCCGAUGACAGCAUCAAUGCAGUUUCUGAAAGCUCUGUCAAGAAUGUACUUUGACCUGCCAUAAUAUGAUCUUUUGCACCCAUUCGGACAAAUAUUCGGUCGACAGGUGACAAUUCAAAGCUCCCAGCAGGGACAUCAGCCCCUACCUGGGCCAAAAUCACAGCUAAACAAACUUGCCGGAGAAGAGUAGACUUUCCACCCAUGUUAGGACCAGUCAGAAGGACAAAGCUGGCACCAUCACUACCACCAAUACUGAUGUCAUUUGGCACAAAUGCACCCUUGCCUAAAGAAUCACUUCUAAGAACAGGGUGACCCAAACUUUUUGCAGAUAUCUGUGGCACUUCACUUGACGAUGAACCCAUGAUGACUGGACGGCAUGCUGGCCCUUCAUAAAAGUCACUUGCAAUUGCCAAACUAAUCAAAACAUCCAGUUCUGCUGUUGUUGAAACCAGUUGUCUCCACUUAUCAUGAUGUUCACAGAAACGCCCUAUCAAUCUCUGCAAAAUGCUCUUCAAUGUUGACUCCUUUUCAGAUUCAGACUGUGAGAGCUCUCCUAAGAGCUUCUUAAUGCUUGGAGUCCAAUACCUGUAAAAUCCCUUUUUGGAUGAACGCAACUCAUAAUCUCGAGGAAUACUCCCUCGCAAAUGUUCUGGAACUUCUAAUAGAUAUGCCUCUUUUCCAACUGUGACGUAACUGAUUGAUGUGUCUCCAAGUAACUUCCGCUGUUCCUUAAGGUGUUUUGUCAAACUCGACUCAAUUUCCCUAACUUUUUUACAAGCAGAGUCAUACUCCAGAUCUACUCCAUCAUGAGGUAUUAUACGUCCAGAAUUGUUGGCCUCCACCCAAUCAAAGGCAUCCUUAAAAUGUUUAAGAAUUGAAUGGAUAUCAGGAAGACCUUCACCAGGUGUUAACAAAUGAUGUAGUUGCCUAGACUCAACACUUUCCAAAAUGACACAAAGUGAGGAACAUGCUUGGGCCAUUAAUUCACAGCCACGUAGAGCAGUUAUGAACUCCUGGAGCUGCUUCUUUGCUGCAUCCUCAUAUAAAAUUACCUUAUUUGAAUUUCUUCCAUUAGCUUCACUGCUAGCACAUAUGCGUGCAAGUAAUCGCUCCAUGUCAGGAAGCCUGGACAAUGCUUUUCGAAAUUCCAGUGCCAUAGGUUGAUUUGCCCCCCGUAGACCUGCUACAGCAUCCUGGCGAUCCUUAAUAGAUUUCAAAUGAUAUAGAGGUCUUGCUAGCCAUGUUUUCAGCAACCUCUUCCCAAAUGCUGUCACACAAUGAUUCAUUUGUGCAUAAAGUGUCCCUGAAGAGCCUCCAUUUCUGUUAUUCUCAAAGAUCUCAAGAUUCUCCAUUGCAGCAGCAUCAAGAAUCAUAUAUGGUUUUUGAGCAACAUUGCAGAAAUCAGAGCAUGGAAGUGAUUCAAACUUUGCAAAUCUAAGCAAAGUCUCAUCCAGAAAAGCCUGUUUUAGAUAAUAGAGAGUUCCUCCAAGAGCUGAAAGUGCUAGGCUGCCAUUUUCUCCUUUAUUUACUAGCUCUGACAAAAUAUCUGGCAGGCAGCUUGACCCAUCUUCUGCAACAUGAAGUUCUGCUGUAUCUGUAUCCGCUUUAUUCAAAAAUCCAGGAGCUGAUUGACCAGUGAUACGCUUGUAGAUGGCCUUGACUUCACAAACAGUUUUCUCAGAAUCCCAGAAUUCUGAGAUGGGAACCAACUCAUUUACUAAAGGAUUUCUCGUAUGCCUUAACAUUACUCUCUCAGUUUCAGAGCUGAGCAUUUUUGCAGGUUUUAUAAUUUCUACUGGCCUCAGCUCAGAUAACAGACAACACAAUGAGCUGCAUUCUGCAUCAUCCUCAAACUGCCCAAGAAGGAUUCUGCUGGUAGCAACAUCAACCACACAGAUACCAAAAACCCGCUCAAAAUUUUUGUUUUCCAAAUUCUGACGGCUUUCAGUCACUCCCAUUAGAUAAGAAGCAUCAGGAUUUGCUGUAAGUAAUUCUCCCUCAGUUAGUGUUCCUUUUGUAACCACUGCACAUAUUUCACGUUUCACAACCUUGUCUUUAGAACCUUUCUCUUUGCGACGAAGUUCCAGUUGUUCAGGUGUUUCCGUCUGCUCUAUAACAAGAACUCGAUAACCCUUUCUUGCCAUUUUCUCCACGUUCAUUGAGAAGUUCCUCUCUGGAAAACCACAAUGUGGUUGUUCUCCCUUCAUAUAUUGCAAAUCUAAUUCCUUAGCUCCUAUGUGGGCAUCCAUUUCAAAAAGCUCAUAAAACUUGCCCAUCUUGAAAAACAAAACUUUAUCCAUAUGCUUUGAUUUGAACUCCCACCAUUGCCUCUGACCACCUGAUAAACUCUUUACAAAAUUUGGAGGCAGGUACAAAGUCCUUGGAUCAUAAUUUGCAUCUCCAGGGCGCCUCCUUUUUGCAUCCGUCCGCUCUGCUCCAAGAAACCACAAUUUCUCAGUUUCACGUGCGCUGAACCUUUCAGAAGCAUCACUUGUCAAAGCAUCACCAAGGCCAUUAGACAACCCAGUUCCUUCAGUCUUCACUUGCUCCAUAAUUGAAACUUUCAAUUCUUCUUUACUCACAUCCCCAACAACCUCGCUCUUCUUCCCGCAACCCAGCUUUCCAGCUCCGCAGGCCUUCCUUUUCCUUGAUUCACUCUUCCCACUCUGCUUUUCUUUUUUGUCAACCUUGAUAUUAUCCUCUUCUUCCUCAUCCUCCAACUCCAUAUCAUCCUCAUCACUGAGGUCCAUCUCUGGAUUCUUUCCCCAAUCUUCAUCACUAGAAUCAUCACCAUCAUUUUCUUCUUCAACAUUACAGACAUCUUUCAUCUCUUCAUUUUCAUCUUCAAUCACUGUCUUCUUGAAAGCCAAAGAACCCCUUCGUAAGCGCUUAAAUUUCUUCACAGUUUCCUCAACCCACUCAAUUUUUUCCAUUCCCAAAUCCAACAUCUCCUCUUCGAAAUCAUCAUACUGAACCAAAUGCUUACCAGAAUCCUUAUCAUAAACUUUAACGCAACCCUCGUACCAUCUCUUAUCCAACGGCCAGUAAACCCUAAUUCUCUUAUCCACCACCUCUUUGUCGUACGACUUAGUGGUGGUUGCAGGUGUUGACAGAGACGGCGAUGGAGAUGGGGAGGGCGUUUGGCCAAUGACUAGGCGUGGUUUUUUUAUUUUGGUUUGUAGAGGAGAAGGAGUAGAAGGGCUAGGGCUCGGAGGUUUAGGGUUAGGGUUAUAUUUGGGGGUUUGUUCUUUGGAGAGAGUAGAGGCGGGAAGUGGAGAAGGAGAGGUUGCUUUAGAGAAAAAAGAAGUGAUUUGGCGCUGUGGAUUGACCAGCGGUGAUCUGCCAUUGCUUGGUUUACGCGCCGGUGCCAUUUCCGUGGUUUUGCUUCCGUGGCUCCGAGAGAAUGGCAGCAGCCAGUAGGGGAGUGUGGUUAAGCGAAAAGGCCUAAAGAACAACAGAUAUGAGACCGAGAAGGUCCACACAAAUGGUCUCUCAAGAGAAAGGGAAAGUUAGCCUAAGAGCUUUACGCAUCAACCGCAGCAUGUAAUAUGGCGGGAAUUUAGUGCAAAUUCCCGGCAAGUGUUUCAUCGGCGUAAUUUGGCGGGAAUUUGGGGCCGUCGUCUUCUACAGUUCCACUCUCCACGGUUAAGCCUUUAGGCCCAAACCCUGAUCACAUGGGCUUGGGUGGAGACUUGUCAUCCACUUAGGGCCAGCAAGGAUCUGUCCAUUUCUGAGCUGAACCCAGCAACAACCUUACCGUUAGUUGCACCUUCCCUAGUCACACUCACAUUCCGCUGGUGCACCCGCCGCACCGAUCUCAAACCUCUUAUAAUUCAACUGCUUUUGUUUCUCUUCACUGCUCUUUAAUGGCUGCCCAAUGUUUCUCACUUUAAAAGAGCCCGCCAAAUUUUCCAUCUUGCUCCGUUGCUGCGUACAAUCCCAACCGCAUUCAAGUUUCCAUGGCCAAAUCUACUCCACCGAAAAGCUUCUCUCUCUCGACGAGAUACAAAGAGGAGGGGGAAAACGAUGUGGAGGAGGGCAAGUGUGCCUGCCUGGUGAUGGUUCUCUGCCCUUGUCUCGUUUGUUUCAUUCUUCUCCUCAUAGUAGUCUUUAUAAUUCUUAUUGUCAAGUUCCAUUUAUUUUGCCACACUCCUCUUCGCUCUCUUGUCUUCAAGAAAAUUUGUCACUAGUUACAAACUCCAGAAGCAUUAAUAAUUCUGAAACCUCAGUAUUGCCGAGUGUUUAUGCACAUGGAAAAGUUACUGGGUUAGCUGCUAGGGGUUUUUCUUGCUUCACCGGCGCUGGAUCAGAUUCCGAUGCUGAAGUUGAUGAAAAUAGUGACAGUGAUAACUGUGGUAACGAUAAUGAAGCUGCAUGUGUCAAGGCGAGUGCAGAUCCUGUGGAGGUCGAUAGGGUAUGCAAGGUGAUCGAUGAAUUGUUUGCCUUGGAUCGCAACAUGGAGGCAGUUCUUGAUGAAUGUGGAAUCAAUUUAUCGCAUGAUCUAGUGAUAGACGUACUGAGAAGAUUCCGUCAUGCUAGAAAACCUGCAUUCCGGUUCUUCUGUUGGGCUGGGAAAAAGCAAGGUUUUGCCCAUGAUUCGAGGACAUACAACUCGAUGAUGAGUAUACUUGCAAAGACUAGACAGUUUGAGACUAUGGUUUCGAUGCUCGAAGAAAUGGGGGAGAAAGGGCUUUUGACAAUGGACACAUUUUCAAUUGCAAUGAGAGCUUUCGCUGUUGCCAAGGAGCGGAAAAAGGCUGUUGGGAUAUUUGAGUUAAUGAAGAAGCACAAAUAUAAAGUGGGUGUUGAGACUAUCAAUUCUCUGCUUGAUAGUCUUGGGAGGGCCAAGCUUGGAAAAGAAGCGCAGAUCCUUUUUGGAAAGUUAGAAGGCAGGUUUACACCAAAUUUGAGGACUUAUACAGUGUUGCUUAACGGUUGGUGCAGGGUGAAGAAUUUGAUGGAGGCUGGAAGAGUUUGGAAUGAGAUGAUUGAUAAGGGGCUUAAGCCUGACAUUGUUGCAUAUAAUACUAUGCUUGAAGGUUUAUUAAGGAGUAAGAAGAGGUCUGAUGCGAUUAAAUUGCUUAUGGUCAUGAAGGCCAAGGGCCCAUCACCUGAUGUUCGGAGCUAUACAAUUUUGAUUCGGGAUCUAUGCAAGCAUUCAAAGAUGAAAGAGGCAAUUGAAUAUUUUGAUGAGAUGGUUGAUUCUGGCUGCAAGCCAGAUGCUACAGUUUACACAUGCUUGAUCACGGGGUUUGGGAAUCAGAAGAGGAUGGAUAUGGUUCAUGACUUGUUGAAGGAGAUGAAAGAAAAGGGUUGCCCCCCUGACGGCCAGACCUAUAAUGCCCUUAUCAAGUUGAUGACCAGUCGAAAAAUGCCAGAUAAUGCUGUGGGAAUAUACAAGAAGAUGAUUCAGAGUGGAAUUGAACCUUCAAUUCACACUUACAACAUGAUCAUGAAAUCCUUUUUUCAGACAAGGAACUGUGAAAUGGGUCAAGUGGUUUGGGAUGAGAUGAUCAGGAAGGGGUGUUGCCCUGACGAUAACUCCUACAUUGUUCUCAUUGGAGGGCUAAUAAGCCAGGGAAGAUCAGGCGAAGCUUGUAAAUACUUGGAGGAGAUGUUAGAGAAAGGAAUGAAAGCUCCCCAGCUUGACUACAACAAGUUCGCAUGUGAUUUGUCCAGAUCUGGGAAGCCCGAUAUGCUUGAGGAGUUGGCCCAAAAGAUGAAGUUCUCUGCCAAGUUUGAAACUUCCAAUGUUCUUGCUAGUUGGGCUGAGAUGAUGAAGAGGAGGGUUAAGAGAAGUGAUUUGGGUUAAUAGACACAGCAAGCCACUUGUUGAGGACCAACAGUACAAAGGUCAAAAGAUUGCAUUUAGGUGGUCGUUUUGAAGUGGAUGUAUGAUGCGUGUUGUAUAUUCUCUUAGUUAUUGCAUCCUGUACUUAUCCCACCAUUCUGUUCUAAUUUUACUUAUUUUUCGCUUUUGUGUUGUAUAUUUUCCUCUUUGAUUUAUAUUUCAGUUUGUUCCUUCUUCCUUCUUUCCCUAGUCAUUAGUUGUCAUCUUUCGAGAAUGUAAAUUAGCCCUGUCUCUGAAUAUUCUUGCGCGGAGGCUGGAGAGCUUGGAGAAGUAGAUGCGGCUUCAAUCGAGUAGAUAAUCAUAUUUCCUGUUUCCUUUCUGAAAGUAAAUGAGAGUUAAUGUGUGUAUUGGCUGAGAUUUAUAUGUAAGGAUGUUCAAUUGAAUUCCCUAUCAUAGUCAUAUAUAUGGCAGUUUAGUACAUAAGUUGAUGUUGUAUAUUGGGACCAUGCAGAUCACCUGGGAAUAGUAGAAUCAAUAAUUCUGUGGCAGGCAGCUAAUGUUUGCAUGUGCCCUUCUGGUUGCUGAAGUUGUUAGCAUUUGUUUUGAGAUUUGGCUUAUUCAAACUCAGGUUGUCUGUUCUUUGAGAUCUUAUUUUUAAGGUUCCUUUUCACUGUUGACAACCAAUAGGUGAUCCUGUCAGCAUUGACCUUGUUUAUUUGGUAAUUUGAGCUACGAAUAAACAAAGAUGGCUUAUCCUCUUUGGAUCAUUUUGAGUUUCUGCAAUUCAUUUGAUUAAAU
RNAcentral lists this unclassified non-coding RNA (7794 nucleotides) under Hevea brasiliensis (rubber tree). The record is from RNAcentral. Lineage: Eukaryota; Viridiplantae; Streptophyta; Magnoliopsida; Malpighiales; Euphorbiaceae.